GACGAACGCUGGCGGCGCGCUUAACACAUGCAAGUCGAGCGAUGAAACUUUAACAGCACCCUUCGGGGCGAAGAUAAAGUGGAUAGCGGCGGACGGGUGAGUAACACGUGAGUAACCUGCCUUAGACAUUGGGAUAGUCUCGGGAAACCGGGAUUAAUACCAAAUAAAAUCAUAAUGACACAUGUCAUAACGAUCAAAACUCCGGUGGUCUAAGAUGGACUCGCGUCCCAUUAGCUAGUUGGUAGAGUAAAAGCCUACCAAGGCGACGAUGGGUAGCCGGCCUGAGAGGGUGAACGGCCACAUUGGAACUGAGAAACGGUCCAAACUCCUACGGGAGGCAGCAGUGGGGAAUAUUGCACAAUGGAGGGAACUCUGAUGCAGCGACGCCGCGUGAACGAAGAAGGCUUUCGAGUCGUAAAGUUCUUUUAUAUGGGAAGAUAAUGACGGUACCAUAAGAAAAAGCCCCGGCUAACUACGU
Molecule: ribosomal RNA, 478 nt
Filed under: uncultured bacterium
Lineage: Bacteria
Description: partial 16S ribosomal RNA
Rfam family: Bacterial small subunit ribosomal RNA
Source: RNAcentral